GAUGAACGCUGGCGGCGUGCCUAAUACAUGCCAGUCGAGCGAACAGACGAGGAGCUUGCUCCUCUGACGUUAGCGGCGGACGGGUGAGUAACACAUGGAUAACCUACCUAUAAGACUGGGAUAACUUCGGGAAACCGGAGCUAAUACCGGAUAAUAUAUUGAACCGCAUGGUUCAAUAGUGAAAGACGGUUUUGCUGUCACUUAUAGAUGGAUCCGCGCCGCAUUAGCUAGUUGGUAAGGUAACGGCUUACCAAGGCAACGAUGCGUAGCCGACCUGAGAGGGUGAUCGGCCACACUGGAACCGAGACACGGUCCAGACUCCUACGGGAGGCAGCAGUAGGGAAUCUUCCGCAAUGGGCGAAAGCCUGACGGAGCAACGCCGCGUGAGUGAUGAAGGUCUUCGGAUCGUAAAACUCUGUUAUUAGGGAAGAACAAAUGUGUAAGUAACUAUGCACGUCUUGACGGUACCUAAUCAGAAAGCCACGGCUAACUACGUG
This 497-nucleotide ribosomal RNA is filed under the name uncultured bacterium. RNAcentral's name for it is "partial 16S ribosomal RNA". It matches the Rfam family "Bacterial small subunit ribosomal RNA", at positions 28 to 507 of the family's 1533-position model. The record is from RNAcentral.